Gadus morhua (Atlantic cod) is the source of this 173-nucleotide long non-coding RNA. RefSeq lists it as uncharacterized. NCBI's taxonomy places the organism in Eukaryota, Metazoa, Chordata, Actinopteri, Gadiformes, Gadidae. The transcript is spliced from 2 exons. The record is from RefSeq and is a predicted model, not a curated record.
UGAUUGCUACGGUCUCUAAAGGCAUCGCAGUCUUCUGCAGAGGGAGAAAAAAAAGUACCUCGCUGUGACUGGACAUGUGGGAGGAGGAGCCAGGGGCGACAACACCCAGGCUCUCUGAUGUGGCGCCACGCUGAGUGCUACAGUCUCCAAAGGCAUCGCAGUCUUCUGCAGAG